This 433-nucleotide ribosomal RNA is filed under the name uncultured bacterium. RNAcentral describes it as "partial 16S ribosomal RNA". It matches the Rfam family "Bacterial small subunit ribosomal RNA", at positions 29 to 507 of the family's 1533-position model. The record is from RNAcentral.
AACGAACGCUGGCGGCAUGCCUAACACAUGCAAGUCGAACGAGACCUUCGGGUCUAGUGGCGCACGGGUGCGUAACGCGUGGGAACCUGCCCUUAGGUUCGGAAUAACUCCCCGAAAGGGGUGCUAAUACCGGAUAAUGUCUUCGGACCAAAGAUUUAUCGCCUUUGGAUGGGCCCGCGUUGGAUUAGCUAGUUGGUAGGGUAAAAGCUUACCAAGGCGACGAUCCAUAGCUGUUCUGAGAGGAUGAUCAGCCACACUGGGACUGAGACACGGCCCAGACUCAUACGGGAGGCAGCAGUGGGGAAUAUUGGACAAGGGGCGAAAGCCUGAUCCAGCAAUGCCGAGUGAGUGAUGAAGGAAUUAGGGUUGUAAAGCUCUUUUACCCGGGAUGAUAAUGACAGUAACGGGAGAAUAAGCUCCGGCUAACUCCGUG